AUGGCCCUUCCCUGGCCGCCGCCACCAGCCCAAUCUCCGGCCGCCGCCUUCUCCGGUGCAUGGACCGGAAUCCCCCCCUCCGCGUCCCCCAGCCCACCACCACCUCUCUCCUCAUCGUCAGCCCUCCCCCAGCACCCCCGCAGAGAUCAUCCAGCCACCUACAUGCCGGAGUCCCUGCCGGCCGCCACCGACACCGAGCUCCUCAAGGCCCCCGACGCCGACGAGGCCGAGCUUGUUCCACUGCCGACGAGAACCGCAACCUCCCUCCCCUACUCACUCCAGCCACCGCGGGGCCCCCCCUUCCCAUCUCAUUCUGCACUCUGCAGCCACCACGGCCCCCCCUCCCCACCUCUUCUCCUCAAAGCCUGCCCUCUCUCCCAGUCCCAGUUCUUUUCCUUGAUUCAAUCUCCUCCACAACGGAGUAGUAGUACACGGAGAAAUCACUAAGCUUCUCCAUCGUAGAACCCAAACCCCACCCUCCCAUUGGUAUUUUUUCCUACUGAACUUGUGGAUAAUGACUUCAGUUUCCAGUUAAGACUUGGUGCCUGUUGCUGUGUUGCAGACCUUUUUCACAACUAGUCUGUUCAUAUCAUAUUGAUGUCUUCCCAUCACUUUUGUAUCUCCAGCUUGACCACCAAGUUCAACAUUUGCCAGGUCCUUCUGUACAAGAUAUCACCACUUCUGAUUCAUAUGAGUGAAUCCUUAUUUAUUUUUCAUGGUUUUGACUAUAUAUGAGUGAAUUGGAGCAAGUUUGGUUUUGUUACUCGUUUUCCUUUUCUUAUAGUACAAUAAAAUAGGGAUAGCUAAUGUUAUGUCUGAAGAAUACACAAAUUGCACUAACAACUUGGGGAGGUUCAAACUACAGAGCGAUAAUAGCAAGGUUAGUUCCUCACUCCCCUGAUUCGUAGUGGCAUAUGUGGAUGAUUUGUCUAAGAGGAUCAAAUGCUGGGAAGGAUGAUCUUCUUCUUCAGUAAAGAUUAUUUUGUGUCAACUUUGCAUUUUUAGCUAUCUAAAUAGAACCAUCAAUGACUAACAUGUUUUAUGGAGGUCUGUUUGGCUCUUAGCAGGCCUGUAGACACGAUGUUUACCAAGAUGACUUUGAAAACACCCGGCAGGAGGAUAGGUUGGUCUGGCCAACGACGGCCUGGCAAUAUGAUUGGUCGUCCAGGUAAAGGUUUCACUUCCUUUUUCCCUUACACAUUUGCUAGAUCUUCUUCCCGAUGAAAGUCAUGUGCCUAGAUUGCCUGCUAGACCUUACUAACUCAACCACUCGAUGUUAAACUAUGUGCAUGUAUGCCUAGAGUGCUUACUGGACCUUGCUAACUCGAGAAGUUGAUGUUAAAGCCUUGAAGUACCAAUUAGACUUAUUGACUCUUCUAUACAUGUAUGCCUACAUUUAGUGGGUGCCUACUUUACUUAGUAGACCUUUCUCUAUAUGGUUUUUUUUUCUUCAAUUUGGUUCAGAGCUGUUACCUGGUUACCUGCUACACAUAAGCACAUGGAAAGCUUAAGACCUAGCGUAAACCUGGGAAUUGUUUGGACUCAAACUGAAGUUUCAGUUUGGUUUUUCCAUCACUUUGCUUUGGGUUGGAUUAAAUGGGCUGAGCACCUGUGGUAAUUUGGUCUAGUGUGGGUUGUAGCAAUUAUACUAGAUUGCCUUGCUUUGGUCUGGAGUCUGGGCAGAGACCAAACGGUCAUAGCCUGUUUCAAUCCAUAGACAAACUGGAAUGAGCAACCAAUUCGACCGCACAUCUGUACGACACCAGCGAUUCCAUCUGCCCUAUGCUAGGGUAAGGUGCCGUUGCCGCCGGCUGUACCCCGUCGUUCCUCCUCCACUGUCCCUACUCUUUGGCCCUCCUGGCUGCGUCGAUGGUGGGGGCGCCUGGCUGACGCCAAGCUUUUGCGGCAGGUGGGGGGCCCCUCUCUCUCUCAACCCCGCUCUCUCGCCUCUGUAGGUAGAGAUGCUGAUGACCACAAAACUGUGCAGGCUUAGCUUGGUCUUGCCCAGAUUACUUUAGAAAUUAUUAUCCCUGACUGGGCUUGGUCGUCAACUGCUAAUGCCCUUUUCGCGUUAAGGGUUUUGUCCAUGGUUUAAGUUUGUGGUUUCAAUCCAAAAGUCAGAAACGGUUUGGAUGGGGUUGGGGUUGGGUUGAAAAAAACAUACAAUUUGGUUUGGUCUGGAUUCUGGCUGAUUUUUUUGGGACCGGUUUGGUUUGAAUCCUGGGCGUAUAGUGCUAUGGGCUGGACUAGCUUUGGUUUGGAUGUGAAACUAUUCCCAAGCUUAACCUAGCAGUCCAAAAUUAAGUAGCAUAUUCUCUUGCCAGUCAUCCAAAAUUAAGUAGCAUAAUUCUCUUGCCAGUCAUCUAAAAGUUCAGCGACAACUGCUGACACAUGAGCUUCAUUUUACCUGUUAUGCUUCUUUUGCAUGAUCAAUUGCAGGUCCAUGAGGCAGCAGCUCUAAGGCAAAUGAAGGCUUUAGUUAAUUGCCUGUGAUAUUUAUGCCCCUGUUGGGCAAUAUUUAUGCCAUCGUUAUAAAGCAUGGGCAAGAUUUAUGGCCCCGUUGAAGGUACAUGGGCAAUAUUUAUGCCCCGCAAAAAAAAGAAGGUACAUGAAGAAAAAAAAAACACAGGACAGAGCAUACCUACAGGAGGUCUGCUAACGAAAAAAAUAUGGAGCAACACUCGGUACAUACAUGGAGAU
Triticum aestivum (bread wheat) is the source of this 2700-nucleotide long non-coding RNA. RefSeq lists it as uncharacterized. The transcript has 2 exons. Lineage: Eukaryota; Viridiplantae; Streptophyta; Magnoliopsida; Poales; Poaceae. The record is from RefSeq and is a predicted model, not a curated record.